AGUAAAAUUCUUUGAGAAUCUUUCCUGUUUUCCCUGCUUACAAUCAUUGGAUUUGGACGGAAACAAUUUUACUAACCUUCCUACAUGCGAGCAACUACAUAAUUUGCUCAGCUUGCAGGUUUCGUGUUGCAGACAACUACAAGAGAUCAUCAACAUCCCAGGGAAAUUGUGGUAUCUAGAGGAAAAAAGUUGCGAAUCUCUGACUAGA
Molecule: long non-coding RNA, 208 nt
Organism: Rhodamnia argentea
Lineage: Eukaryota; Viridiplantae; Streptophyta; Magnoliopsida; Myrtales; Myrtaceae
Exons: 3
Source: RefSeq, a predicted model, not a curated record